This 402-nucleotide ribosomal RNA is filed under the name uncultured bacterium. RNAcentral describes it as "bacterial SSU rRNA". It matches the Rfam family "Bacterial small subunit ribosomal RNA", at positions 29 to 418 of the family's 1533-position model. The record is from RNAcentral.
AGCGAACGCUGGCGGCGUGCCUAAACACAUGCAAGUCGAACGUGAACGGGGGCAACUCCUAGUAAAGUGGCGCACGGGUGAGUAACGCGUAGGUAAUCUACCCUAGAGUCUGGAAUAACAUGCCGAAAGGCGUGCUAAUACUGGAUAGAGCGAGGAACUCGUAAGAGGGUUUCUCGGGAAAGGGAGGCCGUAAGGUCCCUUGCUUUAGGAUGAGCCCUGCGUCUCAUUAGCUAGUUGGGGGUAAAAGCCCACCAAGGCGAUGAUGGGUAGCUGGUCUGAGAGGAUGAUCAGCCACACUGGAACUGAAACACGGUCCAGACUCCUACGGGAGGCAGCAGUGGGGAAUCUUGCGCAAUGGACGAAAGUCUGACGCAGCAACGCCGCGUGAGUGAAGAAGGCCUU